RNAcentral lists this ribosomal RNA (323 nucleotides) under uncultured eukaryote. RNAcentral's name for it is "partial 18S ribosomal RNA". It matches the Rfam family "Eukaryotic small subunit ribosomal RNA", at positions 1470 to 1796 of the family's 1831-position model. The record is from RNAcentral.
CCCUUAGAUGUUCUGGGCUGCACGCGUGCUACACUGAUAUUGCCAAUAUGUCAUUCUUAUCCGAAAUGGAUUGGGUAAUCAAGUAAUGAAAUUUCAUGCUUGGAAUCGGUAAUUGCAAUUUUAUCGUGAACGAGGAAUUCCUAGUAAGCACUAGUCAUCAGCUAAUGUUGAUUAUGUCCCUGCCCUUUGUACACACCGCCCGUCGCUACUACUGAUUGGGUGUUCAAGUGAGAUGCUUAGACCCUUGUUGCAUGGUUCAUUAUUGUGCUCCGAAAGGAAAAAGUUUCAAGCCUGAGUGUCUAGAGGAAGUAAAAGUCGUAACA